This 335-nucleotide long non-coding RNA is filed under the name Bos taurus (domestic cattle). RNAcentral's name for it is "long non-coding RNA NONBTAT023507". Lineage: Eukaryota; Metazoa; Chordata; Mammalia; Artiodactyla; Bovidae. The record is from RNAcentral.
AAUGUUAAGUAUGGAUUUUACUUAACAUUGAUAUGAGGCGCCUCAUAACAGUGAUAUGAGGAACUACACAUAUGAAAACUUUGAUCUUUAAAACAAACAGGAUGGAAUACUCUACAUUAGCCCUUUAGGUAUACAAGGUGUUUGGGAAAUGAGACAUUAAAGUUUUAAUCUGCCUCCCUCCCAGAUUGCUAACCUCUUUUCCUUUUUCCCCUUACCUUACAAAAAUCAUAUGAAGAUCCCAUAGACCCUUCACUGGCUUAUAAAUGCAUGCCUAACUGAAUCCCUCUCUCUUUUGUGACUGACUGUCUGCAGACAUGUCACAUCUUCAAAUUGUG